RNAcentral lists this long non-coding RNA (1174 nucleotides) under Sus scrofa (pig). RNAcentral's name for it is "lncRNA (ENSSSCG00050014379.1)". The record is from RNAcentral. Lineage: Eukaryota; Metazoa; Chordata; Mammalia; Artiodactyla; Suidae.
AAAAAAGGAAAAAAAAAGUAUCUAUCGAUUUUAAGUUUUAAGUCUUUGAGAAGCCGACUCUACAGGCUGCAGAAGUGCAAAUCCCAGCCCACAAACUUGUGAGCCAGGUCACCUGGACCAAGCGACUGAACAGGCCUGUGCUUGUUUGCCCGUGUGUAAGAGGAGGCUGACACUAACACUCACGCGGUUGUCGUGAGGAUUAAAAGAGUUCUCAUGUGUAAAGUACGCAGAUCAGGGCCUGGCCCGUGUGACUGCUCAGUAAAUGUUAGCUCUGGUUAUUAUUUUUCAUCCCACAGUUCGUGCAUUCAAAACAAAGAUGUGACGGGUGAGUGGUCAAGAUGCCCUCAAAAAGGGGCCCCCCGAGGGUCUCGGUCGCCCUCACCCACACUCACCCAGGCCACUGGGGCAGCCCCGCCCAGGCCCCACUGUGGAGUAGGGGCUCUUGCCCUGCAGAACUAAGGGUGGCCCUGGACACGGUGAGAAAAGCAUGUGCAAAGGUCCUGAGGCUCAGAUUCCCCCUCUGCUGAGAACGAGGGCUGUCUGUGAAAGGGAACCAAGGAGGGACGUCUUGGGGGACCUGUGCUGGGGGACCCUUUCCCAGCUGGAGGGCCCGUGGUCCCUUGACUGUUCCCUCCUGUCUUUCUUCCACCUCCAGGUCGCCAUCAAGAUUAUCGACAAAACCCAGCUGAACCCCAGCAGCCUGCAGAAAGUGAGGCCCUGGGAGAGGGAGCAGGGCGGGCGCCAGUUUGGGCAGAGGGUCCUCGAAACAGGCUGCCCUCAUCUUUCUCUUUGCUCCUUUCCUCCAGCUGUUCCGAGAAGUCCGCAUCAUGAAGGGCCUGAACCACCCCAACAUUGUGAAGCUCUUCGAGGUCAUCGAGACAGAGAAGACGCUGUACCUGGUGAUGGAAUACGCAAGUGCUGGUGAGGGCCCUCCCCUCCCCCUGCUCUCCGUGCACCGCCCCCGUCCCCCCCUGACCCCAUCCGCCUCCGCCCUGCAGGAGAAGUGUUUGACUACCUCGUGUCGCACGGCCGCAUGAAGGAGAAGGAAGCUCGAGCCAAGUUCCGACAGGUCAGGGUCACGGCUGCGGGGGGUGGUGGGGGGGAAGGCUGGGCGGGGCGCCCCCUGUCCCUGGGGCCGAGGGUCUGGUGGCCGGGGUGGGGCUGGGCUGUCCAC